This 438-nucleotide ribosomal RNA is filed under the name uncultured Fibrobacter sp. Its description in RNAcentral is "bacterial SSU rRNA". It matches the Rfam family "Bacterial small subunit ribosomal RNA", at positions 355 to 794 of the family's 1533-position model. Lineage: Bacteria; Pseudomonadati; Fibrobacterota; Fibrobacteria; Fibrobacterales; Fibrobacteraceae. The record is from RNAcentral.
UAGGGAAUAUUGCGCAAUGGGGGCAACCCUGACGCAGCAACUCCACGUGUGGGAUGACGCAUUUCGGUGUGUAAACCACUGUCGAGAGGGAAUAAGGCGCAGUUUCGACUGCGUUGAAUGUACCUUUAAAGGAAGCACCGGCAAACUUCGUGCCAGCAGCCGCGGUAAUACGAGGGGUGCAAGCGUUGUUCGGAAUCACUGGGCGUAAAGGGAGCGUAGGCGGAUAGUCAAGCGUUCUGUGCAAUCUCGGGGCCCAACCCGAACACGCAGAGCGAACUGAUUAUCUUGAGUAGUUCAGAGGUUGGCGGAAUUCCUGGUGUAGCGGUGGAAUGCGUAGAUAUCACGAAGAACUCCGAUUGCGAAGGCAGCUCACUGGAGCGCAACUGACGCUGAAGCUCGAAAGUGCGGGUAUCGAACAGGAUUAGAUACCCUGGUAGU